AAGAAGUUCAACAUUUAAAUAAAUUGUACACAUUCCCAGUCGAUUUGAUUUUUACUUUCACACAGGUUAUAUUAUCCUAUUCCUGACUAUCUUUACGGUUUGCUUUGUGAUGGCAUAUUUGUUCAUCCUGCCCUUGAUGAAUAAAGUACCUGAAACAUUUCUCACACCUUUAAAGGCAAUACUACCUGUCUUUAUUGCAAAGUAUUUAUUCGAAUAUUUUAAAACUGUAUUAAUUGAUCGGCGACAUCUUCAGGACCAUAAAGUGAAGAAAAAUCAUUCAGAAGAUUAUCAGCGUGUGCUGGCAUUGAAAAAUAGGACUUCAUUCAACGUCUUGGACUAUUUCCUGUUUUUCUUUCAUGUGAUCAUAGGGUUCUUCGGGUGCAUUAGCAGAAUUCUUCUUGGAGCUACAAUUGGAAUUUUAACUGUCGCUCGAAUAGACGGUUCUCUGCUGCCAAGAGGCUAUGAACACCUUGAUAAUGGAUACGCGGCAUAUGUUGGUUUGAUCAUGUUUGAACUUCGUCACAGGAAUCCUAUUUUGUUGGUUUUCUGUGAUGAACUCUUGACUUCACAGAAAAACAAAUCGACUGACAUUUCACUACAGGCUCCGCAAGAAAACCUCGAAUACCAAAGGAGUGUGUCCGAUAGUUUGAAAAGACAGAAACAGACGUUUUUACGCAAUAAAUGGUAUAAAGCGUUUACAGUUGUCAACAAUCCAAGUCUAAGGCAGACAAAUAAACCAAAACUGUUGAGGGGUUUCAGCGAAAAUCCUAAUGUUGACAUAACACAAUCUUUUAAUGUUUCAGAAGCAUAAAAGAGAUGUUAUACAAUGAAAAGAAGUUUUUCAAAAGCUUAUCUAGCAAAUCAAUUAAUAUGUUAUCUUAUAAUUUAAUUUAAUAUUUUUGUAUGUCAUGUAGAUAUAUAUAAUAUAUGAAAUCCUUUUAAGUACAUCCAUAUAUUACAUACAUUCUUUCAAUUAAGUUUAUCCAUUUUUUACAUUUAAGUCUGCGUCGAAGAACAUAUGAAGAUGAACAAAAAUGAUAUUCCUCAGUGUACACAUUUAGCUUAGGAUUAUUUUUAGAUGAAUUAUUAUAAUUGAUAUUUUUCUCUUGUAUUAAAAAACGUUAUUUAUAGUCAAAUUGCUUUACAAAAAAAUGCAAUACUCCCACAUGAUAUGAUGUGGUU
Long non-coding RNA from Mytilus californianus (California mussel), 1182 nucleotides. RefSeq lists it as uncharacterized. NCBI's taxonomy places the organism in Eukaryota, Metazoa, Mollusca, Bivalvia, Mytilida, Mytilidae. The record is from RefSeq and is a predicted model, not a curated record. The transcript has 4 exons.